AUUGAACGCUGGCGGCAUGCCUUACACAUGCAAGUCGAACGGUAACAGGCCUUCGGAUGCUGACGAGUGGCGAACGGGUGAGUAAUACAUCGGAACGUGCCUAGUAGUGGGGGAUAACUACUCGAAAGAGUGGCUAAUACCGCAUGAGAUCUACGGAUGAAAGCAGGGGAUCGCAAGACCUUGUGCCACUAGAGCGGCCAAUGGCAGAUUAGGUAGUUGGUGGGAUAAAAGCUUACCAAGCCGACGAUCUGUAGCUGGUCUGAGAGGACGAUCAGCCACACUGGGACUGAGACACGGCCCAGACUCCUACGGGAGGCAGCAGUGGGGAAUUUUGGACAAUGGGCGAAAGCCUGAUCCAGCAAUGCCGCGUGCAGGAUGAAGGCCUUCGGGUUGUAAACUGCUUUUGUACGGAACGAAAAGCCCCGGGUUAAUACCCUGGGGUCAUGACGGUACCGUAAGAAUAAGCACCGGCUAACUACGUGCCAGCCGCCGCCGUAA
This 498-nucleotide ribosomal RNA is filed under the name uncultured bacterium. RNAcentral's name for it is "partial 16S ribosomal RNA". It matches the Rfam family "Bacterial small subunit ribosomal RNA", at positions 30 to 523 of the family's 1533-position model. The record is from RNAcentral.